RNAcentral lists this small RNA (1022 nucleotides) under Rattus norvegicus (Norway rat). RNAcentral's name for it is "uncharacterized LOC108351032". Lineage: Eukaryota; Metazoa; Chordata; Mammalia; Rodentia; Muridae. The record is from RNAcentral.
UCCCCAGCCCCUCGUGUGCUGUUUUGAACUAGGAGUCCAAACUGGUUUCCUGUCAGCUGGAGCCGGAGAGUCAGCCAUGGUUAGCAAGAGACCAGAACCACUGAAGUGAAACCUUCAUUUUACUGAGGUAGUGAUGCUGGUCAGUCAGAGCCGGGGAAACAGCUGUACUUCACGAUGGCUGGACUUGGUAACGUGUAAGAGUCUCUCAGGUUGGUUUUGAAGGCACGAAGAGGUUGUGGAGGAUAGCUGAGUCUCCACCUGGGAGAGGCCAGGAAAGGCCAUUGGUCAACAAACAAACAUUCAGCCUCAGUUACAGUGAAAACCCCAGAAUUGAAGGGGUCAUGGAGAGAGGCUGAGGCUUGGCACCGUGUCCCUGAUAUCAAAGUCCCUGAAUAGAAUCCAGGAGGGGGUGAAGGUGCAGCCCGAGGAGACCCCCAGCAUAUUGGAGAUGUCAGGAUCGUGGGGCAUUUGCCAGAGCAGAGAGCAGAUCAAGACAAGCAGAGUGAGGAGCUGGGGAAUGGAGCUGCCAGGGCCCUUUCGAAGCCCAGAGGAUCGGGAGUGGAUCUCAGGAGCCCACAGUUCACAGAGACUUGGGAUGUUUAAAAAAAAGAAAUGGAUAUGUUACAGAGACGAAGCUUUAAAAAUCUUGAAAAUUGCAAAGACUGUGGGACUUAACAAAAAAAACCAAAAAACAAAAAACAUAAAACAAAAAACACUGUACAGUUGGGUUAGGUGCGGUGGCUCGCGUCUUUAGACCCAGAGUGCAGGAGGCAGAAUAGAUGAGUCUCUUUGUGUUCUGGGCCAGCUAGGGCUCCAUAGUGAGACCAUCUCAAAAAUAACAGCCAGCCAUGGGUAUACCCGCCUUUCAUCCCUGCACUUGAAAAGCAGAGGCAGGCAGACCUCUAUGGGUUUAAGAUGGCUGGAUUAGCCUACAUAGUGAGUUGUGGGAGAGCAGAGCUUCAUACAUGGAUGGACCCUUUUGAAAUAAUAAAACAAACAAACAAACAAAAAACAACAAUGAA